AGGACGAACGCUGGCGGCGCGCCUAACACAUGCAAGUCGAGCGAUGAAGAGCGAAAAGAAGUCUUCGGACGGAAAUUUGUUCGGAUUAGCGGCGGACGGGUGAGUAACACGUGAGUAACCUGCCUUUAACACAGGGAUAGCCUCGGGAAACCGGGAUUAAUACCUGAUAACAAUAUAAGAUCGCAUGAUCAUAAAUUCAAAGCGUUCAGCGGUUAAAGAUGGACUCGCGCCUGAUUAGCUGGUUGGUAAGGUAACGGCUUACCAAGGCAACGAUCAGUAGCCGGCCUGAGAGGGUGAACGGCCACAUUGGAACUGAGAAACGGUCCAGACUCCUACGGGAGGCAGCAGUGGGGAAUAUUGCACAAUGGGGGGAACCCUGAUGCAGCGACGCCGCGUGAGCGAAGAAGGUUUUCGAAUCGUAAAGCUCUGUCCUUGGAGAAGAUAAUGACGGUAUCCAAGGAGGAAGCCCCGGCUAACUACGUGCCAGCAGCCGCGGUAAUACGUAGGGGGCUAGCGUUGUCCGGAAUCACUGGGCGUAAAGGGUUCGCAGGCGGCAUGGCAAGUCAGCUGUGAAAGGCGGGGGCUUAACCCCCGUAAGCAGUGAAACUGUCAAGCUUGAGUAGGGAGAGGC
RNAcentral lists this ribosomal RNA (631 nucleotides) under uncultured Peptoniphilus sp. Its description in RNAcentral is "bacterial SSU rRNA". It matches the Rfam family "Bacterial small subunit ribosomal RNA", at positions 26 to 658 of the family's 1533-position model. The record is from RNAcentral. Lineage: Bacteria; Bacillati; Bacillota; Tissierellia; Tissierellales; Peptoniphilaceae.